GUGAUGCAUCACUCCAUGAAACCUCAUCCCACCAUCACCGCCACGCUGCUGGACUUCAUGCGCUGGGUAACAACACCUGCCACACUCAGUGUGGGGGUUUGUAUGGGGGAAUAGAAGCAUGAAGGUGUGUCAGGAGGACGACGUCUGGCUGCUCUGCUGCCUCACCCUCUCCAUUUACACCAACACUCAGAUCGAGAUCUGAAUGUUUCUAUCUCAGUUCCCAGAUAAGACGCUGUGGAGUGUUUAGGUGCUCAACAUGAUCGUAGCCAUCAUCGACUCCAAACAGCUGCAGGAGCUGAUGUGUCACAUGAUGAUGGGGACCCUGGUGAUAUUCAUGAAGGACUCUGUGCUCAACAUCUCUCAAAGGACACCCAUCGUCUUUUUCUUGUGUCCAGUUUAGUCUCUAGACUGGGAGACCUUCGAGCAGUACAGCACCUGGCAGCAGUUCCUGGCUCACAGGAUCCCCCUGGAGGCCAUCAUCCCCAUCCUGCAGCACCUUAAAUAUAAAGAACACCCGGAGGCCUUGUCUUGUCUGCUGCUCCACAGAGAGAAGUACGACAGUAACACACCUGGACACUCGUCUUAGAGACUCCUGGGCCCCCGUUAACAUCUGUGUCCCAGGCCGAGUGAGAAGAUGGUCCUGAGUCGUCCCGGUCACCUCAAGGACCAGUUCACCACCAGCAUCCUGAGACACUUGGUGUCCAAUCAGGGCUUAAACAGUCAGUAUUUGAAGCCUACUGUUUCACACAAUCUUUAAUGAUUUUCAGUAAACUACAGUAACACUCAAAGCAUGGCUGCCUCCUCCUCGUUCAAAUGACAAGCGAAUGCGAGUGGCUGAAAGUGACAGUGAAAGUUAACGGAGGAUAAGAUCAGCAUUAAGUUGUCAGCUUACAGCUCUGUCUAAUGUACACCUUGAUAGUUAAAUUAAAAGUACGGUGUUGACCACUGGGGAGCUGAGGUUAGUAAUGUUAAAGCGAAUUACGGAUGCAAACUACCAUUAGUCCUUUUAAGCUAAUGAGGACAUUAUUCUUUUGGAUUUUGAUGUACAAAUGAAAUGCUUGUAGUAAUGCAGAAGGGAAGGCAUGUUGCCUAUUUAUGCUAAUUUCUACAAAUGUAUAAAGCAGUAAAUUAAGACACAAAAGGCAACAUGAAAAUCCUAUCUGUAAUGAUUGUGAGGUCAUGUGUUUUCCUGCCAUUAUAAGGUGGUGAGGCUCAAAACUGCUUGGUGCUGCGCAAUGAAUAUAAAAUCAUUGUGGAGAGCAUCAAAACUAACCAAAUGAAUUUUCCCAGAUCAAAUGGUUAGAAUUCAACCCCAGUAGACUUAUUUAGCAUGUUUUGCUCCCCUGAGUUUAUCCAUCAGCAGUAGGUUGUGUUACCUACCAGUGACCCAUUUUUCACGUCAGCAGGUCCACCGCAUGCCAGCUUGUUAAUUACGGAGCUUGUCAAGGUCAUCGUUCAUCCCGGUGUUUCGUUGUUGAC
Long non-coding RNA from Micropterus salmoides (largemouth bass), 1479 nucleotides. RefSeq lists it as uncharacterized. The transcript is spliced from 3 exons. The record is from RefSeq and is a predicted model, not a curated record. Lineage: Eukaryota; Metazoa; Chordata; Actinopteri; Centrarchiformes; Centrarchidae.